CCAAUAAAAAAAAAUCAGUAUUGCUCCCUAAGCUCAAGAAACCUUUCAUUUCUUGAGGCAUGAAGCCAUAAAUUUUGAAAUGUGUUGUAUUUCUAGGAUAAAGCAACAUAAAAAAGGGACAUAAAGUCACAAGGAAGUCUCUCUUCGCUGUUCUCUACUCUCGCCCUCCAGCUGGCCUGCUCAUCGACCCUGCUCACCGGAGCAGACCCCGGUUGCUGGAAGGUGCUUUACAAAUGAGGUGACAUAGGCUCAGAGCAGCCAGGAGAACAGGGCAGCAGACACAGGACAGACAUCGAGGAAACUGGGCUUACAUAUCCAGGCCCUUGAUGUCCCAAAAGAGUCAAAGAAAGUGUGCCCAGGAUAGAACUUAUCCGUCUCCAGGUCUACAUCCCCUUCCUAAUGUAAGGACACUGCCAUCCAUCCAUCCUUUCUCACCAGAAACCAGAGUCACCUAGACUCCUCCUCCCACAUGGCCCCUGUCUGCGCUUCAGCCUAUGAUAUCUCUUACCUCCGUUCAUCAGGACCCCUUCCUCUGGAUCUUCCCUUCUGUGGCCUGAGUUCACCCCUCUGUCAUCUCGCAGGGGACCGGUGUUGAUUUCCUUUACGAGGCUUCUCGCUCAGUCUUUCCCCCAUGAAUUCCAACCACGAGCUGCCUCUGGACUGACCGCUCUAUGAAAAGCAAGUCUGACCAACUCUCUCCUCUACGCCGGCACCCGGGCAGGCUGUGGGAUGUCUGUGACGCUCCUCCCGGGGCUUAUGUCUAAUGCGCUUCCCCUCCUCACUCACAGGAGUUAAGGGGAAGAAGGGCCGUCCACCUUGGACUUACAUGGCUCCGCGUUUCCCCAGUCCAGCGGAAAGCGGACUGUGUGGCUUUAUCAAGCUCUGAGCGUGGGGAGAACGCUUAGCCUCCGGCCCUCACCUUUGGCCAAUUUUACGGCCAGUGCAGUGCCUGGGCCUCUUGGGGACAGGACUGACGACUGCUCUCACUUGUGGCCUCCUGUGGGCCCUGCUCCGUGUCCUCAGUGGGACAAAGCUCUACGGCUUGUCCCUUGCCUUUUGGGGACCCGUCUCCUUUUACCACUUUGCAUGGGAUGACCUAUCAACUCAUUGGAUGUCACCGAUGCAUCAGGGGCUGGCAAAUUUUUUCUGAAGAAAAGGCCAGGUAGUGACUAUUUUUGGCCAUCCAGUCUCUGUUGCAAACACUCACCCGUGCUGUCGUCGCAGGAAAGCGGCCACAGAGGGUGCAAAAACGGGCGCGUGUGGCUGUGUAUUAAUAACACUCUAAUCCCACGCACGGACGGUGAGCCGUUCUGACCUACAGGCCCGAGCGUGCCGGCCCCUGAACUGGGGAUACGUGUGCGCCGGAGAGGCUGAGACGCCCAGGCCAGAAGUGGUUGGAAACCAUGCCCAGAACAUGGAUUUUGGCGCUCAAUCGCCUCGAUCCCAAUCCUGACAUUCGUGUUGCCAGCUAUGGAGCCUUUGGGUAACUCUGCACAGAUGAUCUGGCUUGAUCCUCACCACAGUCCUCAGAGGAUGGAGGUGUGGGUGGGGAGGGGCCAAAGGCUCUGGAACUUGUAAGUCCUUUCAUCAGCGCACACCCGCCCACCUUUUAAGAGAAAAGCCGCUGGGCCCCCUCCGCUACAGCCCCAACUCCCAGCUCCCUUUCACACCGAAGCCCUGAUAAAGCCGUCUGCGUCCUCCGUCCACACUGUCAUCUCACACUCACUCAGCGGCUCUGCGAGCUGCCCGCGGCCCCAGCGUAUCAAAGUCACGAUCAGCUUCUGGGACAGAGACGCGCGGCCUGUUACAUAUUUAGCGAUGGCUUUCACACCGCCAGCCCAAGUGCGAGGAAAGGAUCAUCACAGCGCAGCUCCUCCCGGGAGGGGUGCUGCUGGAGAUCACCCGGGUCAACUCCUGUGGCCACCCCAGCGCGGGCGGACACCAGCAUUAUAACCUCUGCCUCUCCCAGGAGGAGGAAGAGACACCAGGGAUGUGUGUCAGGGAGGAAAGACGGCGAGGAUACAGCGACAAGACGGCCCCCUGCAGCCCAGGCGAGAGGCCACAGGAGAAACCAGCCCCACCAGCACCUUGGCCUUGGACUGCCAGCCUCCAGGGCCGGAGCAGUAAGCACCCAGCCUGUGGUAUUCUGUAUGGCAGCCCUGGAGGACUAAUACGGGGCAUCCAUGGUUUCUACGGGGAAGGGAUUCGUGGGCGGUCCAGCUGGCUGGUGCGGGGCUCUGACCAGGUCUCUCAGUCAGUGCCAGGGCUCGGCUGCGUUUGAGGCCCCAGCACACCCUCCAGGUGCUCCAAGCGCAAUGACAUGCACCCCCCUUGCUUCCGGAUGCUGUGUGUGCUGCUGUUCUGCCUGCUCUCCCAGCAGCUCAGAAUCCUUGUCCUUUGUCCCUUGAAUGUUCACGUUUUCCUGGCAUUCUUCUCCCGCCACACAUCCCUCUCUUUAUUUCAUCUACUAUGACGGCAUAAACGACCGCUGCUCUGAUGAUGUUCAAAUGUUAAUAAUUGGCUCCAGCCCUGGUUGGUGUGGCUCAGUGGAUAGAGCGUGACCUGCAGACUAAAGGGUCCUGGGU
Molecule: long non-coding RNA, 2585 nt
Organism: Myotis davidii
Lineage: Eukaryota; Metazoa; Chordata; Mammalia; Chiroptera; Vespertilionidae
Exons: 4
Source: RefSeq, a predicted model, not a curated record